This is a long non-coding RNA of Ostrea edulis (European flat oyster), 488 nucleotides long. RefSeq lists it as uncharacterized. The transcript is spliced from 3 exons. The record is from RefSeq and is a predicted model, not a curated record. Lineage: Eukaryota; Metazoa; Mollusca; Bivalvia; Ostreida; Ostreidae.
GUUUACCAACACUUCGCAUAUUAAAUGUAUUUGUUUGGGAUGUAUGGGGGUACGUAUUUGUUUGUCAACGUUUGAUAAGCUACCAUUGGUCAAAUUCAACGAAAGACUUAGACAAGACGAUGAUGCUGCAGUGUAACUUGCAGAUCUAUGCAGAAGGCCCGUCUAGGAACCCUAGCCCCUAUUAGUACAGUAGUAGCCAUAGUGGGACAUGAAAAGAACGUAUUAGACUCGGUGAAACCUACCAAAUAGGUGAUGUGAUAGUGUACAUAUAUGACCUGCUUUGGUCUGAAUGGUUUGCUAUUAAACUAUGGACAGGACAGUGGUAUCAUCUGUGAAUGACUGACCAUGCUGAUUAUGUCAAAGGGAUAUAGGAAGUGGAUCAUCCAGUUUCUUUGCCUUUCCCUCGAGGUCUUCAGACAGUGUCUCUAUACAUCAUUAACCAUGUUGAUUAGCUCUCAUGAUGUCAUGCCAUUACUGCCAGAUUACUU